Molecule: ribosomal RNA, 775 nt
Filed under: uncultured Neocallimastigales
Lineage: Eukaryota; Fungi; Neocallimastigomycota; Neocallimastigomycetes; Neocallimastigales
Description: partial large subunit ribosomal RNA
Rfam family: Eukaryotic large subunit ribosomal RNA
Source: RNAcentral
AGAGAGAGACAUGCGCGCAUAUCAAUAAGCGGAGGAAAAGAAACUAACAAGGAUUCCCCUAGUAACGGCGAGUGAAGCGGGAAGAGCUCAAAUUUGAAAUCUUAAAGGGUUUCCCUUUACGAAUUGUAGUUUAAAGAAGUGUUUUCUGUUGAGGUUUUGGUAAAAGUUCUUUGGAAUAGGACAUCAUAGAGGGUGAGAAUCCCGUAUUUGACCUUCACUUUCAACUUUGUGAUACACUUUCAAAGAGUCGGAUUGUUUGGGAAUGCAUGUCCAAAAUGGGUGGUAAAUUUCAUCUAAAGCUAAAUAUUGGCGAGAGACCGAUAGCGAACAAGUACCGUGAGGGAAAGAUGAAAAGAACUUUGAAAAGAGAGUUAAACAGUACGUGAAAUUGUCAAAAGGGAAGCGUUUGACACCAGUGUUGUUUUUCUGAAAAUCAAUUAAAGAACUGUUUAUGCUAAGUUGUUUAGACUUUAUCAGCUAACUGUUUAGUUUUGAGCUUUUCUUUAAUGCACUUUUCAGUUAACAAGUCAACAUCAAUUUCUUUUGCUGUAAAAAAGCUUGAGGAAGGUGGCUUGAGAUUCGUCUUAAGUGUUUAUAGCCUCUUGCCUAUGCAGUCGGAGAGAUUGAGGUCUGCAGCGUAGAUCCUUCGGGGCUAAAUGCAUUUGUGCUAAGUUAUAGCAUUUUAUAGACAACUUGUUGACUAUGAUUUGUCUUGUAGCUUACUCGCUUAUGUUAUUUUACCUACGCUUAGGAUGUUGAGCGCAUGUCUCUCUCU